UCCCUGGUGGUCCAGUGGUUAACUCUGCACUUCCAAUGCAAAGGGUGCAGGUUCAAUCCCUGGUCAGGGAG
This is a non-coding RNA of Bos taurus (domestic cattle), 71 nucleotides long. NCBI's taxonomy places the organism in Eukaryota, Metazoa, Chordata, Mammalia, Artiodactyla, Bovidae. The record is from Rfam.